UAGAGGAGGUUGGGAGAUUUUCCCUUGCAGAACUCGUAUCUGGCAAAGCCAUGGAACAGGAACAUCUCCAGUGGGAGAGGGGCAUUCCCUCCGAGGAGCAUGCUCCUGUCCUGUGGGAGACCCUGGUGAGCCCUCCUGCCUUACUCCUUUUCAAUGCAAGGUCUCAGAUAAAACCUCAGACUCUGGUCAGGUGGUCAGUUACUGUAUCCCAGCUGUGGAACUGUAACUGUAAAUCAAGCGGCAGCAGGUUUCUGAGCAACUCCUGCUCAGGUCAACACUCGCUUGACUAACCAUUCGAAAUAACUUACACAGAAAUAGCCGCAGUGCAGGACAGACACGUAUUUAUGUAGUUAGGGUCAUGAAAAUCUGUUGGUAGGGCAGUAUGUGGGAAUAGUAUAGGAAGAGUGGGGUGCUUGCUUCUCAGAAAGCAAGAGGAAGUUAUGAAUGUAUUUGUGUUCUUGACAAGUGUCUGAUUGGGAUGGUACCGAGGAAAACAUCACCAGCAGGUGAUGGCACUGCCCUCUGCCUCAUGCCUCCUAGCCUUGCCUGCAUGCCUCUGUCUUUUCCAAGCACUUCUGGGGUAGAUUCUUGGCAUGUUCCUUGUAUUCCUUCCUCCCUGCAGUGAUGAAGUGCCUGUAGACCUGAGAGUGUGGUAAAGUGAUCAGAAUGGGGGUUUUAUUUCUAAAUCUUCAAAACAACAAUCCGGUGUUCUGACUGAAUAUCAGAAAGGUGCUGUUUUAAGCUCCACAUGACACAGCUGACUUUUUCAGAAUAGGGCUAUUUUCAUUUACCCUUAAAACUGUAUCCUAUAAAGAACAGUUAGGUUUUCUGUGGUGGCAUUUUACCUGUAGGAUUUGUUUAUGAAUCCCUUACUACCCUUUCUCAUGACCUAAGAUGUAUUUUGGGGUUUGUCAUAACAUACAUUUUUCUCUAUGUAAGUUUUGUCCAGCAACUUCUGUUAUCUUAGACAUUAAUUUAACAGUGGUUUGGGUGUUGGUGGGUAUUUUGGGUUUGGUUUUUGUGUUUUGUUUUUUUUUUCUUACCAGUUCUAGUGCCUUCCAUUUACUCCAAGGUUUAAUGAAUUUCUCUCACGUUCCUGUGGAAUAUUGUUGGAACACUUGUGAAGAGAGCUAAAAAAAAGCAAAGUGGGCAAUAUCGAGUAGAGCAAAGCUCACCAGAAUUUACUAGCUGUGUCAGAAAAGUCUCAUUGAAAUGGCAGCCACCCAAAUGUAGACUAUACGUUUUCAGAAGUACUUGAAUAUUUUGUGGUAACAUGAUGAAAAAUUAACUGGCACAGGAAAAAUAAUAAUCCUUAAAAGUGUGUAAAGAAUCCAGACUGGAGCAUACAUUAGAUGAAGCACAGGGAAAUGAGAAACGGCAGCCUAUCAAAGGGCAUUCCUCUGGAGACCAGGAGAUGAUUCUGCAAAUCUGUGGCCUGCAUGGCAAAAAAAAGAAGAGUUGGCAGCUCUGUCCUGUGCUCUCCUGCUGUCAGGAGCUACUUUUCCAAAAGCUGUUUGCUCAAAAUCCUGACUUGUGACUUUGUUACCUACCUUUCUGUGCUGAUUCUUGGGCUAUGUGAUUAUACUCUAUACAGAUGUAUUCUUAACAGCUUUUGUGUGCUG
Long non-coding RNA from Athene cunicularia (burrowing owl), 1622 nucleotides. RefSeq lists it as uncharacterized. Lineage: Eukaryota; Metazoa; Chordata; Aves; Strigiformes; Strigidae. The record is from RefSeq and is a predicted model, not a curated record. The transcript has 3 exons.